Aegilops tauschii subsp. strangulata is the source of this 942-nucleotide long non-coding RNA. RefSeq lists it as uncharacterized. Lineage: Eukaryota; Viridiplantae; Streptophyta; Magnoliopsida; Poales; Poaceae. The record is from RefSeq and is a predicted model, not a curated record.
UCUUCAUUCGCCUGCCCACCAUCAUUGUUCAAACCGACUCUAUGAACUACAAAGCGGUUACAUCAUGGUGACUGAAAUGAAGAAAUGUGUUAUUGGGUGUAGGCUCUUCUAUUUUGUAUGUUCGAGGCGUAGAUUGACUCAAGGUUACAUUCUGGUGACUGAAAUGAAGAGAUGUGUUGAUGGGUGUAGGCUCUUCUAUUUUGUAUGUUCAAGCUGGAGAUUGACUAGCAUGCACCGGUCAGCUGUGAAGCGCACUUGUAGGAAUUCGUUGCUCUAUCUGUCCACUUCCGUCUAUCAUCUGGUUUCCAUGGGCACCCGUGAACUGGCAUGAAGGUUGAACGCACAUUGGUGUGCUCUGAAAAUUAGUACUUAACUUGUGGUUGCUUUAAUUUGCUGCUUUCCAAGCAAGCAUGUUUAGCAAGUUUACAUGUGAACUCAUCCUGCUUGCAUCUUGGUGUGUGCGCAAGCAUGCGCACGCUUGGUUAUCUUGUGUGUUGCAUCAAUGAGUUAGGUUCCGCCGCUAUUUUUGCUUGUGUUCCAUGAUGCCCCAUUGUGGUUCUGAGCUCAGUCUUUUGAAAGCUUGUUCUGGUUAAUGAAUGUUGAACUGCUUCGGUGUUUAAUGAGGCAGCUCCCACUUGUUGAACUGGACCUGCAUAAGUAGCAAUAAUAGCAUGGAUUUGGCCUCUAUACAUUGCUGCCUGCCUUUGUUUGCUUUUAAGUUUCUUAAACUUUUUUUUUACUCUGGAGGUGUUUACGAAGAAACACUUUGUGCCUGACGCUAACUUUGUAAAAGGAAUGAGCUCUUCAGAUUUGAGUGGUAAUAGUAUUAUUAGCUCUAGUUUUAUCUGCACAAGGUCUCUGAGUGUUAUACAGUUGCUUCAGCUCUGGCACUGGCAGGAGCAAACUCCGGUUGUAGCCGGGAGAAAAACAGAAUGCAGUACG